UUCCAUAAGGAGUGGAACCAGAAGGGGCUGAGGUCGCGGUUAACGUGGAAAACUGAUGAGUGCCACUCGUUAACCCAGCGGCAGGGUGUGAUGGACCGAGCCUUGAAAUCCCCUGUUAACUCAUUUUAUAAAUGGGGCUAACAGUGCCCAUCCUCCCUACAUUGGAGAAUUGUGAGGCAAGAGGAAAUAAUGUAUGCAAACGUGCUUUGUAGAGUAUAAAGCCCAUUAGACUUUAAAAUAUUUUUAUUAUAGGAGAAGGCACCCAAGCAAGAGCAGAUGAGAGCAGGGACUUUGGAGUCAGAGAAACCUAGGUUCAAGUCUGAUCCUGGCUGAUGUUGGAUAAUCAGUUGUGCUUGACGCUCGGACAAACUGGGGUACAAGGGUGUGGGGGUUUGGAGACUAACUAGAAAGGACAUAAUUCCAGGCAAAGGAUGUUUCAUGAGCAAAGGUAUGGAAGUGAAAAUGGACACGAAGAGUAAGACCAGGAGACCGGGAGACCAGUAUUGAGGCCAUUGCUGUACUCUAGCUAAGAAGACAUGAGAGCCUUCACAAAGGUAUUGGCAGUGGGAAUGGAGGAGAAAGAAUAGAUGUGAGUACUGUUAAGGUGGUAGAAUUGACUGCACUGAGUGAGGGAUAAGUGAGUAGGACAAUUUUCUAGUAUGGGUGCUGGAAGAGAUAGUGGAACCAUUUAGCAGCAUGAGAAGAAAGAUGAGUCUGGGUUAUCCACCAGUUUCCGUACUAAGUUACUAGACAGUGGUGGUGACAGUCUUGGAGGAUGAUUAGAUUUGUGGGAUGAGAUGGCGAUGAAUUCAAAUAUAAAUCUGCUUAUUGGGGAAACAUUUAAUCUCCACUCAUACUUCUUUCCAUUUGGAGUGAUACCCAUUAAUAUAAUACUCCUGGCCUCUCCCUGCACCUGCCACAGCUCACUCCUCCCUGGAGCAGUGACUUCCUGACUGGUGAAUUUAAAAGGAGAAACUGGACAUAUAUAGCCCAGCCCAUUCUUUUCCCUUAAAAGAAAAUUGCCUUCAAGGAAUUGCCUUGGUGGUGGUCUCUGCUCCUCUAGGAACAGGACCUGGGGUGGGGUUGAGGGUGCCUGGUCCAGGACUACAAAGUUAGUAAGCCUAUUUAAUUUCAUAAUUUGGUAUUAGGAAGCUCUCUACCACAGGUAAUCCAGCACCAACUUCAUUAGUUGUAUUAUACAGAAUAAUCGUCCCCCAAAGAUGUUCUUGUCCUAAUCUACAGAAUCUUGUGGAUGUGUUCCCUCUCUUACAGGGCAAAAGGGAUUUUGCAGAUGGGAUUAAGUUAAGGAUCUUGAGAUGAAGAGAUUAUUUUAGAUUAUCUGGCUGGGCUUGGAGGUAGGAAGGUUAGAAUCAGGGAAGGAGAUGUGAUGACGGAAACAAAGCUCAGAGAGAAAGAGUGAUUUGAAGAAACUGCACUACUGGAAUUGGACAUGGAGCCAAGGAAUGCAGACAGCUUCUGGAAGCUGGAAAAGGCAAGGAAAUGGAUUCUUCCUUAAAGUCCCCAGAGAGAACCCAGUUCUGCCAAUACCUUGAUUUUAGGAUUUCUAAUUUCCAGAACUGUCAGUCCUAGGUAUGGAUGAGAUCAAUCAGGGAGAAAAUAUAGAAGAAACAAUAAAGAAGACCAAGGAUAGAGUCCCGGGAAGCACUAACUGUAAAAGGGGGUGGCAAAUGAACAGAAGCCCACAAGGAAGUCUGAGGAACUUGCAUAAUGCCUCAAGGCCGUAAUGUCUGGAAAGCCAAGAAUUGCGAGAUGGAGACCGGGGUCAGCGGAGUCACAAGUAGGAUCACAGGCGAUGUGAAUUAUAUAACUGGCUGUUUUCUCCUUUCACUUUGACUGCCAAGAAGCUCCGAGAAAUUUUGUGGUUCAGCAUUAGUAACUGGGAGGACCCUUGGCCUGCAUAUCUGUAUUCCAUUGGUUUGAAAUUUUUCAAAAUAAAAAGUUGGGGGAAAAAUAAUCUAAAUUCUUCUUUAUUUUUGAAAUUUUUGACAGUGUACAUUUAUAAUUAGAAAAAGGAAA
Long non-coding RNA from Ailuropoda melanoleuca (giant panda), 2037 nucleotides. RefSeq lists it as uncharacterized. NCBI's taxonomy places the organism in Eukaryota, Metazoa, Chordata, Mammalia, Carnivora, Ursidae. The transcript is spliced from 3 exons. The record is from RefSeq and is a predicted model, not a curated record.